This 307-nucleotide long non-coding RNA is filed under the name Zea mays. RNAcentral's name for it is "long non-coding RNA NONZMAT003074". Lineage: Eukaryota; Viridiplantae; Streptophyta; Magnoliopsida; Poales; Poaceae. The record is from RNAcentral.
AUGGCUGUGUCACUAUUUCUUUCUUUAUCAUCUCAUGGCGUGUCAAACUGUCAGCAAAAGUUAGCAGUUUGUCGAGUAUACUCUUCUUCUACUACGACACUGUUUUCCCGACCUUUCCUGCUUGGUUGCAUGCGUUCAGUUGUGCUAUUGUAUUUAUGAAUAACAAACAUAACACAUGCCCGAGUAGAGAGAUCUCGAGCACUGCCUGCCACGGCAAAUAUCGAUCGAGAGCCACACAUUCGAGGAGGAAGGAAGAACACAAGCAGUACGUAAAGAGCCACACAUGGCUGGCCCUAUCUAUCGCCAU